This 2019-nucleotide ribosomal RNA is filed under the name Triticum aestivum (bread wheat). RNAcentral's name for it is "partial small subunit ribosomal RNA". The record is from RNAcentral. Lineage: Eukaryota; Viridiplantae; Streptophyta; Magnoliopsida; Poales; Poaceae.
AUGGCUGCGCGUCUCAUGCCUCCCGCCGUGGUCAUCCUGGCCUCGUUCCUCCUCCUCCUCUUCCUUGUCCAUGCGGUGGACGCGGCCGAGUGCGAGCCGGGGGCGUGCGGAAACUUCACCAUCAAGUACCCGUUCUGGCUCGGCGCGCCCCGCCGACCCCCGCCGGAGCCCUCCUGCGGCCACCCGGCCUUCGAGCUCUGGUGCAUCGACGGCAACACCACGGCUUCCAUGAGCGGCUCCCCCAUCCACGUCCACAGCAUCGACUACGCCACCCGCUCCUUCGUCGUCUACCACAACAGGGUGGCCUCGGGCACGGACGGCGUGUGUCGCGCCGACUUCAAUGUCUCAUCCAGCCUAGCUCUCAGCCCGUUCAAGAUCAGCCCUAGCAAUCAAGCCAUGUGCUUCCUGUCCAACUGCAACGGGACGGAGCCUCACGGGCCCCAGUACGUGAACUUCACCGGCGUGCCCAGCUGCGGCAAGCCCAUCUUCGCGUACCUCGGCGGGAGCUACGACCGGGACAGGCCGCCGGCGAUCGACACCGGGACCUGCACGUACAAUUACCUGCCGGUGCUGGGGUCGGAGGCGGCGGCCUCGACGGCGGCCAACUACACCCGGCUCCUGAAGGCCGGGUUCCUGCUGGACUGGGCGGGCGCCGGCAUCGGCGACUGCCCCGCCUGCGUCGUGACCGGCAGGCAGUGCCGGUACAGCAACGCGACCGCGGCGUUCGGAUGCAUCUGCCCUGGUGACGGGAGGCUCCGCGGCCCGACAUGCGCCGGGAAAGGAAAAUCAACAAGAUGGGAGAUUAUAGUUGGACCAGUAUGCGGGGCUGUAUUCAUGUUCGCGGUGUGUUCCGGUUGUUUUGCCUGGUACAAACGCAAGAAGCGGAGACAAGCUGUAGCUUCAAAUGAGUUCAUGAGAAGUGGAUCAAUGACAUCAUACAGUAAAGACCUCGAGUUGGAUGGUUCUCCUCAUAUCUUCACUUUCGAGGAGCUUGAAGAAGCUACUGAUGGGUUUAGUGCUUCAAGGGAGCUUGGUGAUGGUGGUUUUGGAACUGUCUACAAAGGAAAACUCAAGGAUGGGAGAGUAGUUGCGGUGAAACGCCUAUACAAGAACAACUACAGACGGGUUGAGCAGUUCCUGAAUGAGGUUGACAUCUUGUCACGCCUGCUCCACCAGAACCUUGUGAUCUUAUAUGGUUGCACGUCUCGGAUGAGCCGUGACCUUCUCCUGGUGUACGAGUUCAUCGCAAAUGGGACGGUCGCAGACCAUCUUCACGGGUCCCGUGCGGCCGAACGAGGCCUCACAUGGCCUCUGAGGCUGAACAUCGCCAUAGAAACGGCUGAAGCACUGGCCUACCUCCAUGCCGUGGAGAUCAUACACCGAGACGUGAAGACAACCAACAUAUUGCUCGACAACAGCUUCCAUGUCAAAGUUGCAGACUUCGGGUUGUCACGCCUGUUCCCGCUUGAGGUCACCCAUGUGUCGACUGUUCCACAGGGCACACCGGGCUAUGUCGACCCGGUGUACCACCAGUGCUACAAGCUGACCGACAAGAGUGAUGUCUACAGCUUCGGCGUCGUGUUGGUGGAGCUGAUAUCAUCGAAACCUGCUGUGGACAUGAGCAGGAGCCACAGUGAGAUCAACCUGGCAAACAUGGCCCUCAACAGGAUUCAGAACCAUCUAGUUGUUCAGCUGGUUGAUCCGGAGCUCGGCUAUGACACCAACCUCGAAACGAAGAGGACGAUCGAUCGCGUCGCGGAGGUGGCCUUCCAGUGCUUGCAGCUGGAGAGGGAUCUGAGGCCGUCGAUCAAGGAGGUGGUGGAGAUCCUGACUUGCGUCAGGGACGGAGACUGUGGGGCUAAUAGCAUGAAGAAGAAGGCGUCUCAGAAAGAGGACGUGUGCUUGCUCAAGGAUGGCCUGCAGUUCUCGCCCGACACUGUUAUACAUAGAUUCCAUAGCCAGUCGACUAACCACUCGGUAGCAUCAAAUGCUAGUGGAUUAUCUAACAACAAAUGCUGA